ACUCUAGUAUUGAUCUCAAUCUACAUGUAUUGAGGUGGAUUAGGGUGUAACUUAACUAAUUUACACCAUAAUCCACCUCAAUACAUGUGGAUUGAGGUCAAUGCUAGA
This is a non-coding RNA of Zea mays, 108 nucleotides long. NCBI's taxonomy places the organism in Eukaryota, Viridiplantae, Streptophyta, Magnoliopsida, Poales, Poaceae. The record is from Rfam.